Molecule: transfer RNA, 61 nt
Filed under: Bayadera ishigakiana
Lineage: Eukaryota; Metazoa; Arthropoda; Insecta; Odonata; Euphaeidae
Description: tRNA-Leu
Source: RNAcentral
UGUGGCAGAAAAGUGCUAUGGAAUUAAGCCCCAUCCAUGAAGGUAAAUCCUUCCAUUAAAA